Stegostoma tigrinum is the source of this 2402-nucleotide long non-coding RNA. RefSeq lists it as uncharacterized. The record is from RefSeq and is a predicted model, not a curated record. The transcript has 4 exons. NCBI's taxonomy places the organism in Eukaryota, Metazoa, Chordata, Chondrichthyes, Orectolobiformes, Stegostomatidae.
UCUUUGGAAGAAGGCAGAUCCAAAAACAGCUGAGAUGCAAGAAGGUUCAUAAUUCUUCAAGAGAUCCGACCAUAGCGUUUUCAAAUCCUUUGUGGGAAUACUGGAUCUCCGAAAUUACUGGAAAAGCUCAGCAGUUCUGCCAGCAUCUGUGGAGAGAAAGCAAUGACCUGAAAUAAGGGGGAAGAGGCUUGAGGGAUCAGUGACCCUCAAUGCCAGAGCCCUACACAGAUCACAGUGUGCAAGCAUCCUAUCACGAGGUUUACACCCAAAGUCCAAUGGCAGUAGCAGCCCCUGUGAUGCAGCAAGAACAAGUAAGGCAGCUGCCUGGCCAGGAGUCUCUAUUGCACUGAGUCUGGAUUCUAGUUUCGUCCUCCCUUGGAUCCAAAUAUUGAAGUCAUUCAGCCACCUGCAUUCAGUGAUAAAAUGCAUUUUUGGAAUCUGUUCUGAAAACAAAAGAUGUUCGAAAUCGCAAUGGGUCAGGCAGGAUCCAUGAAGACAAGAUAACAACAUUGAGUAUCUAUAACUGAAGAAAGGGCUCACAGAAUUAUGGGGACACCCUGGAACCAGACAAGCAGCACUGAAGCUGCCAUCAAAGGAGACAACUUAUCAGUAGCGGUGAUGGUGACUAUGGUCCUCGAUAUAUACACAACAAGAUGCUUGCUGGCUGGAACAGCUAACUGUGUAAACUUUCCCAAUUUGUUCUCUUUUGAGGUCCCAGACGCUCAUCCACAACAGAGGGUAGUGGGCCAAUUGGACUUCCUUCCAGCCAGUGACUGCAGUUUUGUAGAGAGAUGACCUUGUACCAUAAAAGUCAUCCUUCAUUCAAGGGGCAGUUGGUGUGUGCUGAUGCACAAUGGUGAAUGCUCUCUGUCCUGGUUUUCAUUCAUUCCUAGGCCACCGUUCCAAUAAAAGCUCAUCCACCACAUCUAGCCUUAGGGUGGCUGUUGGCUGACAAGGACUGGCCCCUCUACAGCGGGCCAAUGAUUCAUCUCCACAACUCAAAAACAUGUGGUCAGUGUGCCUUUAACAAGAGCCAUGAGGCCAGGAGAACCGUCGUUGUAAAAAUGACCCAGCUGCUGAAUGCAAGAUUUCUCCAAUCUUGUCCAGUCUGAAGCUGUAUUCAUUGGAGCUGAACCCCAGCUCAUGGAGGAAUUAUUCUAACAGUAGGCAUCAGGUGACUGCUGAACUUAUCGAUUUAUACUCAUUCCAUCAGGGUGCUGGCUACAGGCAGAAACAGCAGCCUUUACCCAUAUUGUUUCGUCACACCUCAACUGAACAGUACGUUGCUGUGGAAGAUGCACCAGCCGUGUGGAUGGUUAAGUAAACACUUUGGCUAUGGCAGCCAUAUUCAGUGUGGUCAGCAGUCUUGGAUUAUGACCACAGCCCUGUCCUCUUCAAUGGUGUCCCCUGGUCUACUCGGCCUGGACACCACAGAAUACUGCCAAAUGAAGGCUGCUUUCCCUUGAACAAAUCGAGCUGAUGCUAUUCCGGAGAUUGCACAUUGCUUAUCUCCUGAUCCUGAAGAGCACCUUGUUGAUAUGAAGAGCACAGGUGGCUACAUAGAGAUCAUGCAUGGCCCAUCAUCAUCACUGAAUCACAGAAUUGUUCACCCUCGGGUGGCCACUUGGCCCAUCUUGCCUGCACUGGCUCUGUGAAUAAGCACACCACCUAAUACCACUUGCCCACCUUCUACCCCACCUUCUCCACAUGCCCCCAUUAUCCCCUGCAGUUAUGUACAUUGUACGUGAGUUCAGGGCAGGAAGAUGACAAGCAAAUGGAGGUUUUUUCCUGGAAAGACCAGGCAAAAGAUGAGGAAGGAAUGUCCUAUACUGUUUGCUAGACUCAGCUUGUAGCGAGCAUAUAGAAGUGCUGGACUUUUAAAAGGCAAGUAGCAGAAUGGUUCCUUCUUGCAUAUAGCCUCAGAUCUGAGGAAAAGAGACUCCUCGAUUGUGAUGAGUUAAAAAAAAGUGGCAAAUAAUUAAAAAGGAGCUGAAUUUUUGUUUGCUCCAUCUGAAAGGAAGCAGUCAGGAUAGGGCGUACGACUGGAGAUUUCCUAUAAUUAUAAUCUCUUUCUGUGUUACAACAUUCAGGGAAAAUGAAAGGAGUGCUUUUGACACAUUUGUUUGCAUGAAAUAAUAUCUGUCCCAAGAAAAACCCCUCCAGCAUCUUUCCAUUAAGUACACGAGAGCAAGUUCAACCACAAGGACUGGUGCAAACUUGCUUGAGAUAAAGGGACCUAUCCAUUUUUGGGAUCGUUUUUUUCCCUGCCCACCUCUCUUCACUUUAACUCCAUCAAUCCCUGUAAAAGAGAAAGAUACAGACAUUUAAUUUCCCCUUCCAGGUUUUUCUAGGUUCCAUUCUGUUAUGAAAUGCCGAUGAUGAUUUUCUUAAACAAGACAUUU